Molecule: transfer RNA, 76 nt
Filed under: Deltaproteobacteria bacterium
Lineage: Bacteria; Pseudomonadati; Myxococcota; Myxococcia
Also listed under: 3 other names
Description: tRNA-Glu
Rfam family: tRNA
About the family: Transfer RNA (tRNA) molecules are approximately 80 nucleotides in length.
Source: RNAcentral
GUCCCCAUCGUCUAGUGGCCCAGGACCCCGGCUUUUCACGCCGGUAACCGGAGUUCAAACCUCCGUGGGGACGCCA